This 375-nucleotide ribosomal RNA is filed under the name uncultured bacterium. RNAcentral describes it as "bacterial SSU rRNA". It matches the Rfam family "Bacterial small subunit ribosomal RNA", at positions 521 to 896 of the family's 1533-position model. The record is from RNAcentral.
UAAUACGUAGGGUGCGAGCGUUAAUCGGAAUUACUGGGCGUAAAGCGUGCGUAGGCGGUUUCGCAAGUCCGCUGUGAAAGCCCCGGGCUUAACCUGGGAAUGGCAGUGGAAACUAUGGGACUUGAAUCUGGCAGAGGGGGGUGGAAUGCCACGUGUAGCAGUGAAAUGCGUAGAGAUGUGGCGGAACACCGAUGGCGAAGGCAGCCCCCUGGGCCAAGAUUGACGCUCAGGCACGAAAGCGUGGGGAGCAAACAGGAUUAGAUACCCUGGUAGUCCACGCCCUAAACGAUGAUCACUAGGUGUUGGGGAAGCGAUUCCCUAGUACCGCAGCUAACGCGUGAAGUGAUCCGCCUGGGGAGUACGGUCGCAAGAUUA